RNAcentral lists this long non-coding RNA (502 nucleotides) under Chinchilla lanigera (long-tailed chinchilla). RNAcentral describes it as "lncRNA (ENSCLAG00000026760.1)". The record is from RNAcentral. Lineage: Eukaryota; Metazoa; Chordata; Mammalia; Rodentia; Chinchillidae.
UUUUCUCUGCUUUAGAAAGUUCUUAUAUUUCCAUGACACCAGGAAUUUGUCUGUAUCCUCUGCUUGUCUCAGAUUGGCACCAGCAUUCUUGACUUAUUUUCUAAUACCUUCAAGGUUCUCCUCUACUCUUGAAGAUACUUCAAACAAAGAUCUGUCACCACUGGAGAGCUUGGAAGGCACUGUUCAGCCCUGGGUGGGAAGGCAUCACUGAGUCAGCCCUGCCAAGUAUGAAAAGUGUGCUGUCAUUAAGGCAAUGACUUCCAUGGGAAAUGACCUGAAGAAUCCCAAUAAUGAAAUUCCAUGCAGGAGUCUUGAAUGGCCCGAAAGGACCAAUCCAUUCUGGAGUCUGGAGUGAAGUCAAGUACUUCGAAAGCUUACUUUGACGUGGCUUUGAACAAAGAAGAGCAAGCCUCCACCAUUCAUUCAUGCCAGUUUACUUCAAAGGAGCUCUUCUGCCUGCUAUCGAAGGAACAAAGGGGAAAGCAAAAGAGCAGAAACACAG